Molecule: unclassified non-coding RNA, 267 nt
Filed under: fungal sp.
Lineage: Eukaryota; Fungi
Description: partial internal transcribed spacer region
Rfam family: Eukaryotic small subunit ribosomal RNA (bases 1-46)
Source: RNAcentral
AAGUCGUAACAAGGUUUCCGUAGGUGAACCUGCGGAAGGAUCAUCAAUAAUCCAAAUGAUCAGUGACUUAAAAAACCACUGGUCUAACCUUCUUGUGAACCGUUUAUUGUUUAUUGGUUGGGAGUAUAACUGAGAUGUCAACUUUGUUGUCGGAUCGACUCCCAAUCGAUUAUCUUUAUACAAACUAUUUUAUUUUUGAAGUUGAUUAUUUUACAGGAAACUGUACUAAUAUAUAUACAACUUAUAGCGAUGGAUCUCUUGGUUCUG